GCACUGACUGUGACAGCACUUAUACAAAAUUGGAACUAUUCAGAGAAGAUUAGCACAAUUUCUAAAUAGGGAUGACCUGCAAAUUCGUGAAGUGUUCCAUAUUUUU
This 106-nucleotide small nuclear RNA is filed under the name Chinchilla lanigera (long-tailed chinchilla). Lineage: Eukaryota; Metazoa; Chordata; Mammalia; Rodentia; Chinchillidae. The record is from RNAcentral.